UGGGGAAUAUUGGACAAUGGGGGCAACCCUGAUCCAGCAAUGCCGCGUGUGUGAAGAAGGCCUUCGGGUUGUAAAGCACUUUUAUCGGGAACGAAACAUUGUCGGCCAAUACCCGGCAAGACUGACGGUACCCGAGGAAUAAGCACCGGCUAACUCCGUGCCAGCAGCCGCGGUAAUACGGAGGGUGCAAGCGUUAAUCGGAAUUACUGGGCGUAAAGCGUGCGCAGGCGGUUUGUUAAGUCUGCUGUGAAAUCCCCGAGCUCAACUUGGGAAUUGCAGUGGAUACUGGCAAGCUGGAGUACGGUGGAGGAAGGUGGAAUUCCCGGUGUAGCAGUGAAAUGCGUAGAGAUCGGGAGGAACACCAGUGGCGAAGGCGGCCUUCUGGACCAGUACUGACGCUCAUGCACGAAAGCGUGGGGAGCAAACA
RNAcentral lists this ribosomal RNA (427 nucleotides) under uncultured bacterium. RNAcentral describes it as "bacterial SSU rRNA". It matches the Rfam family "Bacterial small subunit ribosomal RNA", at positions 355 to 774 of the family's 1533-position model. The record is from RNAcentral.